Molecule: non-coding RNA, 30204 nt
Organism: Xyrichtys novacula (pearly razorfish)
Lineage: Eukaryota; Metazoa; Chordata; Actinopteri; Labriformes; Labridae
Source: the annotation of a GenBank genome assembly
GUGGGUGUGACAAAGUAUAACCAAACUGCGUAUGUGCAUUUCUCAGACUUCAGAAGAGGAAACAUCAGAGUAGAGUCCGACAAAAACUGAUACAUCUGAGUAUUUUGAAACCCAGAACACCAACCACGGUAAGACCUUUCUGUUUCUGGUUCAACCCUAGAAAUCUAUCUUAGAUAAGUUAGUGUAAUAUUUGGCUGUAAGUCAAAGUUAAAAAACAAAAUACGGUUUCUUUAACACUGUUAAAUCUUCACUAAAGAGCUUAAGUUAAGUUCAGCAAAAUGUCUUAAGUCAAAAAUACAAUGAAAAAAAACAUAAUUAAAAGAGUCCUAAUUAUAAAAUGGUUGAUAAUUAAUGUAAGAAAAAUGUUUUAAAAGGCCAAAAUAAAAGGUAGUAAGUCACAGUUGUAAGGUGGUAAGUUAAGAUUAAGAGUCAUAAUUAUAAAAUGACUUCAAAGUUAUAAGAAAAAUGAGAAAUAUAUAUCACAAUCUUAAGACAAAUAUAACUAUAUGAUAGAAAGUCAUAAUAUCAAGACAGUGAGUUAUGACUGGGAAAUUUUUCAGAAUUAUCACAAAAAAAUAAAGCUAUAACAUAGUCAUAAAAUUGUAAGUUACAAUUAUGAAAGUAUGUCAUGAUUAUAACAGAGUCAGAGUUAUAAGAGAGAACAUUGUGAUUAUAAGAAAAGUUUAAAUUAUGAAACAUUUUGAUGAGCCUGUCAUCAAAUCAAAUAUACAGACUGUUCAUGAAAACAAAGACUGCCUGAAUGAAAGGGUAUGUUUGAUUAUCAAAUUAAUGAAGAUGUCUCAGAGCUGAAACUUUUAGAGAGGACUUCAGCAGUUUACACAGAGAUGUCCUGAACUGAUUUUUAUAUGAUUUGGCAUGAACAAUAAGAUGCCACAUUUUGCUGUUUCUAUCCUAGAAAGUCUGUGUAGAUGAGACCUGAGAUUUUCAACAGCAUUUACAGAGGCUGGUAGCUUAUUUACACUCUACUGACCUGAAGAGCUGCUUUACUUUUACUUUCAUUCUGACUCAAGAGCUUGUUAUCUUGACGACCAUUCCCCAGUGUGUCUUUAAAUGGUCACGUGAAAUUAAGAGUGAUUACACAGUGCCAAUAUAAACAGAGUUUUCUCAACUUUUUUUCCCUCUGCAGCCAUGGGAGGUGAGGAGUCAAAGCCUGUCCCAGAGCCAAGUAAUAUUAUUUUUGAAUAUUAAAUAAAUCUUUUAUCAAAAUACAAUUUCAGGGAAAAAUUCUGACAAAACCUAAAUUUGUUUUUCUUUCAGUGUUCAGUGAGCCAUGGCGGCAACUCAACUGGAUGUAAGUACUCUCUAAUGUCUAAUGUGCUAUUUUCCUAAAUCACUGGGUGUGUGAUUUACAAAGUGCCAGUGGAUAUACAAAACCAAAUCCUGACAGCAAAGGGUUAACUUUUUGGGGUUUAUUCAGAGUAACGUUUUCUUUUUUUAAACUCUUUGGUUUAUUCCUCUGCUUUGUUUUUAUGUAUGUCUGUGUUUACCUGGGUAAGCACUUAGUAAACCUUUUUGAAAGGUGCAGUAUAAAUACAUUAAUUAUUGGUGUUAUUAUUAUUAUUACAAUUAUAAUUACUAUAUCUGUUAUUAUUAUCUCUGUAAUUACUCAGCUACCAACUAAAUAAACAAAUAAGUUAGCUCCAAGAAUUGAUUAAAAGAUGAUUUUGUUGGUUUAAAAAUGAUUCACUUAUAUUCCUUCAGUUUUAAUGUUUGGUGCUAGUUCAUGCUCACUGCACACCUCUCUUUUGUCAAACUUGUGUCUCUGAUUUUCUGACCUCUGCAAACACACACCUGGCUCCUCCUCCUGCUGUCCUCUCCCCACACAUGGCUGCAUGACAGUUUGAACUGCUGCUGCACAAAGAGCUACAGAUACAUCAGUCUAUGUCCACCUUUUACAACAUCAGCAAAUUACAUGUGCACACAGCUGUGCUGCAAAUUUAUCUGCUCAAAUAAAAAGUGAAGAUUUUUAAAAAGAAUUUAAAAAAGGAUAGGUCUGAGUUAAAGAAUUUCACUCUUGCAAAAAGGAGCAGUCACAAACAGAAAGUCUGUAAGCAAGUGCUCAGAGGACUGUACUCUGACUUUGUUUUAGACACAGGGCGUUAUCAGUUUACAUCAGUCAUAUCGAAACAUAAUCAUCCAUAACAAGCUGUUCACAACUUUCUUUGUUUUGCAGACUGGGUUCAGCUUUUGUUUCCCAGCCUUGACUCAGGGUCAGAACAGAGAUAGACAGUAACAGUGUGUUGCUCAGCAUAUUUCUAUAAAAGCUGUCCUUAAAUUACCUUUGAUGACAUGAGUACAUGUACAAGGACUGGAUAAGAAGAUAUUUGUCCAGAAUCACUACUCAGUGUUCCAACAAAGUAAAUGUUCAGCUUCACAAUGCAAAGAAACUCUUUGCAGCCUGUUCAGCACAAUCGAAUGAGAGUAACCAAGCCCCCAUAUAUCCUGACGUCCAACUGUGUGCACUACCAACAUAAAACACAUAAGAACUAAUGUGGGACUUUUAUGAGAUAGUCACAUGACAGUAUGUGUGUGCACUGACACCUCUCCUGAGCCAUCCUUUCUCUCCCUUCAUAGUUUCACAUCCUGCACUGAAUGUGCACCACGUCAUUAUGCAAAACUAAAAAAAGUUGUGGUUGUUAUCAUUUUAUGUCACACAUCUUUCCUCCUCUGAACAGGGACAGACAAGGCAUUCUGGACUAUGUGAAGAACUACAACCCAAGGACCCCAGGGCAGCAGAUCAGAAUUCUUCUUCAUGGGCCAAAUGCAAGUGGAAAGUCCAGUUUCAUCAACUCUGUUAACAGUCUCUUACGUGCAAGACCGUACAUCAACGCUUUAGCAGACAACACCCACGGCGAAAGUUUUACCAAAGUGGUAUGAUGACUUUUUUGUUGUAACAUAAAGGAAAUGUCUCAAAUUUGUAAUGAUAAUGAAAAAUCUACUAACUCCCAGUGCAUGCCUUGUGUCAUAAUAAUCUUUACUUUUAUUACUUAAAGGGAUGGUUUAGUGGUUUCCAAGUGUGGUCAUUUCAGGUGCUCGUCAAUGUUAAGUGUAUUUGCCAAAGGGAUCCCAGUGACUUGGGCCCCCUUUGCUGAGAAACCACAUAGAGGACUACUACAGGUGGGCUCAGCUCCACCAAGUGAUUUCAAUCAUUUUAAAUCCCAACCAAGGGUUGAGGGUGCUGUUCUUGCAGUGGCUUUACCCAGUGAGGAGGCAGACAACAUCCAUUCUAUAUACAGUCUAUGGGCACAACCAAGAAAUUGAGGCUACAAGAUCCUUAAAGGUUAGCUGGUCAUCAAUCAUGACACUACAGUUUCCAGACAUACUUUGCGUGCAUCAGUUUCUCUGAUCCAAACUGGGUAUCAGUCUGAGUCAAAUGUGGUGUUUCUUCAUCCAUUCAGUCAUAUCACAAAAGCAUAAUGAGAUUUUAGUUGAAAGAGUUGUGUGAGUGUGACAGAAAGAGACGGGUAUUGUCUGCAUAGUAAUUGUUGUUGGCCUGAAAGAAAAAAAAUUCACUUGGACAGUUUUAAGGGACUUACAGUAUCUCACAAAAGUGAGUACACCCCUCACUUUUCUGAAAAUAAUUAUAUCUUUUCAUGGAAUAACACUAAAGAAAUAACACUUUGACACAAAGUACAGUAGUCAGUGUACAGCUUGUGAAAUAGUAUAAAUUUAUUUUUCCCUCAAAAUAACUCAACACACAGCCAUUAAUGUGUACACCCCUGGCAAAAAAAGUGAGUACACCACUAAGUGAAAAUGUCCAAAUCGGGCCCAAAGUGUGAAUAUUUUGUGUGGCCGCCAUCAUUUACCAGCACUUACUUAACCCUCUUGGGCAUGAAGUUCACCAGAGCUUCACAGGUUGCCACUGAAGUCCUUUCACCUUCCCUUUAGGAUGCCCCACAGAUUCUUAAUAUGGUUUAUAACAGUCUUAGCCAACAUAGCACCAGCUAACUUACUGGCUUCUGUCAAUGAGCAUAAGUUCAGACUUUGAGUUUGAAAUCUAACAUGUAGGGGUAUCUAAUGUGGAGGAUUGAAUUCAUUCUGCUCUCAAUCUGUUCAUCUGCCACCUAUUUAGAUUUAAAGCUGCUUUUGGUCGUGAAUAGCAAAAUGUUAGAUUGUUGUGGGAUGCUGAGCUGCUCAGUGAAUACAUUGUUUAGAAGUCUUUAUUACUACUGAGAUGAAGUUAGUAUUAUUACUUUAUGUAAGAUCACGUAAAAGCUGAACAAGCCAAUAGUUAGUAUUUUUUGUAAUAAGAACAGUUUUUUUGUGUGAAGAGGGGUUGGAUUACUGGAUAAAAGAUGAUGGAGGUAAAUAUGUUUACUUUGUUUAAUGGAUGGGGACGAAAAUAUUUAAAAGAAAUCCUGUAUGGGGAAAAAGAUGCAUUGAUAAUCAUGAUAAUCGUUAAAAUCACAAUAAUCAUUGCAUUUGUUUGAUAAUCAAAUUUUAGCACCCUGAACUGGGAUCGCAUUAAAACGUUAGGUGCCCAAGAUGGCCCAACCCAACUAACUACACUCUCCUCCAUCUGUCUUUAAAAGUACAAAACCUACAAGAUCGACAAAGGGACCCCAGGGGCAUAUUACCCUUUUGUGUUCAAUGACAUCAUGGGCCUGCAAAACAGUAGAGGGGUCCUUCCAGAUGAUGUCAAACUGGCUCUGAAAGGACAUGUCAUGGAAAAUUACGAGGUACAUUUACUGCAAACUUUGCACAUUUUUCUUCCAAAAAGAUUUUAACGCAUCAUGUAUUAAAUCAGAAUUCUGUCUUUGUUAACAUGUGUUUCACUGUAAUGUUCUUCAAAUGAAUUUAAAACUGUUUUCCAGUUCAAUCCUGAAUCCAUGUUGACUGAGGAGAAUCAGUUCUAUAAACAAUAUCCGUCUGAGGAUGACAAAGUGACGGUUCUGGUUUGUGUUGUUAAUGCCCACAACAUGUCCAUAAUAAAAGAUGAAACUCUGAGAAUGUUAUGUGACAUCAGGAAGGAAGCCAGUCGCCUGGGUAAGACCAGAAAAACUUUUCCAAUAUUUUUCUCAAGAGUUAGAUAAAACUUUGAAAAAAAAAACACAGUUUAAUUCUUGACAGAUCUUCAAACAGUUCCUCUAGCUGAUUUUGAUAUAUGUAUCUGAAGGAGAACAGUGGCUUUUGAAAUGUUUUUUUCUUUCAUGGGACUCAAAGUUUUGUGUUUGACAGGAAUCCCUCAAGUGGCCAUCCUCACCCACAUUGAUGAGGUCUGUCCUGAAGUCAAGAAAGAUUUAAAAGAUGUCUACAAGUCCAUCUUACUGAAGAAGAAGGUAUGCUUACUUGUUGAUUUCAUGAUUUUGUAAAGAAGGAAUCACACUUUAAAAAGUAGUCUACAAAUGACACACCACUGGGCUCUGUUGCUCAGCACUGUUUUUUCUGCCACAAUGCUGCAGUUAGAUCAGGUGAUGAAAAAAUGAAGAACAUCAAAAAUUCUAAUUUAUACAAAUAAAUCAAGAAUUAAAUCCAAACCAGAUCUGAAUCUUUGUCCUGUAGUCAGGAUGACAGGAACAGCUCAGUAUCAUCUACAUAGCAGUGAUAUGAGAAUCCACAAGUAUGUAUUAGUGCACUUAGUGGGUUGGACUUCUCCUCUCCGUGAUAACCAAAAAGAUUCCCCUUUGAGUCAGGACACAGACCUAGAGGCCCCACCUAAAGCCAGACUGUAGUCUCCUUCCAAAGUCCUGAACUCCUCGUUUUAGUCCUUCUAAAGUCCCCAUGCUCUAAUAGAGGUCACUCAGAGUCCUUUUCUCCUCAGAGAGGUCAUUUGAAAACCCUGAUAUCCUCAUGGAGGUUAUUCCAAAGUCACUACAUUUCACCCAAACACUCUGAUUGGCAGUGACUGUCCUGAUCAGACCAACCAGGAAACCAGAGACAUGUAGUCCAGAUCCAGUCUUUAUUUGAGACCAGUGUUUUUCUGUCAAAACAUGUAGAGACACCAGGCUAGUAUCAUCGACUCUGAGUUUAAUUGAAUAGAUAAAUGAAACAGCCAUUCUAAAUCAGGCCUCAUUACCUCUUGUUCUGAAGAUCAGCUGCUCAUAAUUCAAAUUUGUUUCACUAGAUGGAGGAGUUCAGUGCAAAGGUGGGGAUCCCGAUGAACUGCAUCUUCCCUGUGAAGAACUACCAUGACGAGAUUGACACCAACAAUGACCUUGAUGUUCUGCUCCUGAGUGCUCUGAAAAACAUCAUCAUCUUUGGAGAAGACUACCUUAACCCCUAACUGCAGUAUUCAGCUGUGUGAUCCAUGCUGCUGAAACCCACAGAGCUAAAUAUUAAAUGUAAUGACCAUUUAAGGUAAUAUUGAAUCAUUGCUUUCUGAAGUGUCUCUUUACUAUGUGCCAAAGUUGAGCUUUAUGUGAUCAGCUUAGCAAACUUUUUUCUGCUUUCAGUGAGUUUAUAGUUCUCUCUUGCUUCUGUGAUUUUUACUCUAUGAAGUUUUAAAAAAAUGCAAAAUUUGAUUUCAAAUGUAUUCAAGACUUUACAUUCACAAUAAGAAACAGACCUUCUUGGUCUAAACUCCUGUCUUACAUUUGUCUUUAUUUUUGGUGUCAAUCAGUAAAACCUGAAUUAAUUAUGUUAUUGCAUAGUGAGUUACAUGUUAAAAUAUUUUUUAAAAACAUGGUAAGAAUAUCUUUGCCUUGAGUUUGUAAUGACCUUCAUGACCUCAGACUUGUUUAGUCAGACAAUUUGGUUUUUAAGUAGACCGAACAAGAUGGAGCAGAGUGUAACGCCACAAAGCUCCAGCAGAGGGCAGCAGGCUGUCAUCUUCUGAAGCUUUACCCUCUGUUAGGGGCUCACAUGAAAUCUCUGAGAGUUCAUGCAGAUCUACAUUUGAGACAAAAUCAAAUUUGUAAUUUUCAUGUUCUGUCAUGAAAUUACUAAAUUUUUUAGGGGUCCAGCUUGAGAUCACAAAGAGUGGGACAAAUAUACAGGAAGUGCUUACCAUCAAAUGUAAAUCAAGGAUGUGACUUUAGUCAUCAGUUUCUGGUCACUCGUCUUGUACUACGGUUUUCAUAUUCUGUCCAUAAAUGAACAAAGUUUGGUUACAGUUUGUCUCAGUGUACCACCCCAGUUCAAAAAAGUAAAGACACCAUGUGAAAUUGGAUCAAAAAUAGGUCUUGGACAAGAUAUUAAUGCUGACACUGAAACAUUUGAUCAUUUGAUGAAAAAUACGUUGGUUUGUUUUUAAGUUUGAUGGUAGCAGUACAUUUCAAAAAGUUGGAUGAGGACAACAAAACUCUGAAUACGUCGUUUAAUGCUAAAAACAUCAGCUGGAGGAACAUCUCCAACUAAUGAGGUUAAUUUCCAACAGGUUAGUAACAUGAGUGAGUAUAAAAAAGACAUUCAGAGAGACGGAGUCUCUCAGAAGGAAAGAUGGGAAGAGGUUCACCACUCUGUGAGAGACUGCAUGAGCUAAUAGUUGAAAAGUUUCAGAAUAAUGUCCCUGAGUGUCAAAUUUGAAAGAAUGAGUGGAUUUCAUUAUCUACACUGCAUAAUAUCAUUGGCUCUUGUAGUAUACCAUGUUUAUUUUCUCAAAAGUCAUGUUUCAAAACAAGAGAUUUCACAAGACGUGUAUGGUGCAUUUCGUUCAGCUCACCAUUCUACACUGUGUACAAUGCACACCGAGAACAGUGUAGCGAUAGGAAUGAAUAACAAGUGUCCUGAGAUAAUAAUCUUAAAUCAUGACAUUUAUGCACUCAUUGAAAGGGGCACGACCCACCUUAAUGACGGUAGAAAUAAAGAAAAACAAAGGUUUAAUUCAGAAAUCAAACAUUAAGUUAAUCUUAAAUCAAUUUUAAAUCAAUCUCAUAUCUCAAGCCGACAUUCUCAUUUCAGGAACUCCACUUCUGGAAGAACACUAACAGACAAGAACUUAGAAAAAUAAUGUUCGGUUUAUCGCCGGGUAAAUACUGGUCCAACACACAUGCAGUAAAUGAUGAUAAGAUAAUGAGGAUAAAUAAUGAAAGAUGAAUGAAAGAUUCUGAGUCAGGCUAUGAUUUCUAAAGUUAAUGAUAGUGUGUGAAUACGCUCUAACAUAUUAACCUACAUUAACUUUGGUGUAGAGAUAAAUUUGGAUGUGGAUCUGGAUGAAUUUAGGAUUACUCAAAUUAGCGAUUAUUUGAAUCAUGAACGCACUUAAUCUUGGAUUGCUAUGUGCACAAAAGUAGCUGAAGUUGUUUUGUUUUGUGUAGCGCUGCGUAAGUCAAAUCCACUGCACCGAUGAGGCGUGCCCAAGCACACUUCGGUAUUUUGGUGAGCAGCGCAGCCCGGAUUUAGUAUCUCCCCUCCCUAACUCAGCUCCUCCCAGCGGUGUAAGUAGUACAGAGGGAGGGGAUAAGGCAUGGAGUGGGUUUGACACAGCCGAGUCCUGUUUUCACCAAUCACAUCAGCUCCUCUCCUCACCUUUAAAUCCGCCACCACGAGGCAUUUUACAAUUUUCAUCAAGUGGUUUGAAAGAUCAGGAGAUGGCUGAAGACAGCAAUGCAACACAAUGGCGACAGAAGGCAGCCCCUCAACAAGUGUCACUGUAAGCACUGCAGAGGGCAUCCUCCACACUCUCUCAUAUCACACGUCCCGGGUGGAAGCGAGAAGACUGACGCAACAGCAGACUGACUGUUUGCAGUUCCGAUUAGACAACAGCGUUGAGAUGACUGUCUGUAGCAUGUAGCAUACUAUUCUGCUGGUCACCCAAGGUUUGCUGUUGGAGAAACACCGUAUUUUCCUGGUGGGUACGGUGUUAUCAACACAGAAGUUUAUAUCGUCCGUGACAAUCUGUCAUGGUGUCGAUGUCAUCACCAUGUGGGCCGCACAGUACAUCCCAGUCUGUAGUCUCAAAACAGUCCUGCAACACCUCAGUCAUACCCAAAGUUUUAUUGUCUCUCGUUGGGCAGUUGGGCCAGAGAUGAUGAUCAGAGACUGAGGGUGUGAUGUUUGUAGCUUGGACACUUCACUAUGGAGGAGUUCACAGGCUGCAGCAGCAUCAGCCGAGGGGAGGAAAAGAUGUCAUCACAUCUUUGUCAUCUUUGUCAAGAUGUGAUGACAAAUGUUUAUCUGAUCGAGUGGUCCUGCAGUUCUUUCCUGCUGGCCAUAAACGAUUCUGUCUCUGUCUCUGUCUCUUUGAAGUGGAAAGGUUUGUCUUUUUGAGAAGGCUUCUUUGUUUGUCUUGUAUAGAGACAGGAGGUUUUACAAAGAUUGUGAUUUGGUGUUAAAGGUCUAAAACAUCUUGUCUCUGGUGAGCAGAUGUAAGCCUUACAUUCCUUUGGGGGGUUGUGUUAAAAAAGUGGUCACCUCUGCUACAACAGAGAGGCAGGAGGAGAAAGAGAAACUAAAAUCGACAGGAUAGGAAAUCCUGUGGCUGUGACAAAGUAUAACCAAAUUGCGUAUGUGCAUUUCUCAGACUUCAGAAGAGGAAACAUCAGAGUAGAGUCCGACAAAACUGAUACAUCUGAGUAUUUUGAAACCCAGAACACCAACCACGGUAAGACCUUUCUGUUUCUGGUUCAACCCUAGAAAUCUAUCUUAGAUAAGUUAGUGUAAUAUUUGGCUGUAAGUCAAAGUUAAAAAAACGAAAUACGGUUUCUUUAACACUGUUAAAUCUUCACUAAAGAGCUUAAGUUAAGUUCAGCAAAAUGUCUUAAGUCAAAAAUACAAUGAAAAAAACAUAAUUAAAAGAGUUCUAAUUAUAAAAUGGUUGAUAAUUAAUGUAAGAAAAAUGUUUUAAAAGGCCAAAAUAAAAGGUAGUAAGUCCCAGUUGUAAGGUGGUAAGUUAAGAUUAAGAGUCAUAAUUAUAAAAUGACUUCAAAGUUAUAAGAAAAAUGAGAAAUAUAUAUCACAAUCUUAAGACAAAUAUAACUAUAUGAUAGAAAGUCAUAAUAUCAAGACAGUGAGUUAUGACUGGGAAAUUUUUCAGAAUUAUCACAAAAAAAUAAAGCUAUAACAUAGUCAUAAAAUUGUAAGUUACAAUUAUGAAAGUAUGUCAUGAUUAUAACAGAGUCAGUGUUAUAAGAGAGAACAUUGUGAUUAUAAGAAAAGUUUAAAUUAUGAAACAUUUUGAUGAGCCUGUCAUCAAAUCAAAUAUACAGACUGUUCAUGAAAACAAAGACUGUCUGAAUGAAAGGGUAUGUUUGAUUAUCAAAUUUAAUGAAGAUGUCUCAGAGCUGAAACUUUUAGAGAGGACUUCAGCAGUUUACACAGAGAUGUCCUGAACUGAUUUUUAUAUGAUUUGGCAUGAACAAUAAGAUGCCACAUUUUGCUGUUUCUAUCCUAGAAAGUCUGUGUAGAUGAGACCUGAGAUUUUCAACAGCAUUUACAGAGGCUGGUAGCUUAUUUACACUCUACUGACCUGAAGAGCUGCUUUACUUUUACUUUCAUUCUGACUCAAGAGCUUGUUAUCUUGACGAUCAUUCCCCAGUGUGUUUUUAAAUGGUCACGUAACAUCAAGAGUGAUUACACAGAGCCGAAGGAAAAGAGAUGUUAUCAAACAGUUUUUCAAAUGAACUUUGUUUGAGAGCCAAGGCAUCUUUUUUAAGUGGACUUUCUAUUUAAAAGUUUGCAUGUUCAGGAAUACUGUUCAACUCAUUUUGAUUUCAUUGAUUAACUUAUUUGUAUAGAAAGAGGACAGGAAAGCACUCACAGGGUAAUGUUUUGGAUUUUUUCAAAUGUAACCCAGAGAUUUCUUACAAGGAUUUUUUUUUCACAGUUUUCUAGGCUAAUUAUGAUUUUCAGGAAAUAUAAGCAGUUAUUUCCUUUUUUUUCUCUGCAGCCAUGGGAGGGUUGUAUUCAUACUUUCCAGAGCCAAACCCUGAUCCAGAGCCAUGUAAUAUUAUUUUUGAAUAUUAAACAAAUCUUUUAUCAAAAUAAAAUUUUUUGGAAAAAUUCUGACUAAACCUAAAAUUUGUUUUACUUUCAGUGUUCAGUGAGCCAUGGCGGCAACUCAACUGGAGGUAAGUGCUCUCUAAUGUACUAUUUUCCUAAAUCCCUGGGUGUGUGAUUUACAAAGUACCAGUGGAUAUACAAAACCAAAUCCUGACAGCAAAGGGUUAAGAUUCUGAGUUAAGAUCUGUUUUUUGUUGUUGUUGUUGUUGUUUUUUAACUCUCUCGUUUACUCCUCUGCUUUGUUCUUAUGUAUGUCUGUGUUUACCUGGGUAAGCACUUAGUAAACCUUUUUGAAUGGUGCAGUAUAAAUACAUUGGUUAUUAGUAUUAUUAAUAUUACCAUUAAAAUUACUAUAACUGUUAUUAUUAUCCCUGUAAUUACUCAGCUACCAACUAAAUAAACAAAUAAGUUAGCUCCAAGAAUUGAUUAAGAGAUGAUUUUGUUGGUCUAAAAAUGAUUCACUUUUACUCCUUCAGUUUUAAUGUUUGGUGCUAGUUCAUGCUCACUGCACACUUCUCUCUUGUCAAACUUGUGUUUCUGCUUUUCUGACAUAUGCAGACACACACCUUCCUCCUCCCCCCACUAUCCUCUCCCCACACAUGGCUGCAUGACAGUUUGCACUGCUGCUGCAAAAAGAGCUCAAGAUACAUCAGUCUAUGUCCACCUUUUGCAAUAUCUGCAAAUUCCAUGUGCACACAACUCUGCUGCACAUUUAUCUGAGCUAAUAAAAAGUGAAAAUGUUAUGAAGAAUUUAAAAAAGGAUAGGUCUCAGUUAAAGAUUUUUCUUCUUGCAAGAAAGAGCAGUCACAAACAGAGAGUCUGUAAGCAAAUGCUCAGAGGACUGUCCUCUGACUUUUUUUAGACACAGGGCAUUACCACUUAACAUCAGUCAUAACGAAAGCAUGCUCAUCCAUGACAAACUGUUGGCAACUCUUGCUUUCUUUGUUUUGCAGACUGGGUUCAGCUUUUGUUUCUCAGCCUUGACUCAGGGUCAGAACAGAGAUAGACAGUAACAGUGUGUUGCACAGUAUAUUUCUAUAAGAGCUGUCCUUAAAUUACCUUUGAUGACAUGAGUACAUGUACAAGGACUGGAUAAGAAGAUAUUUGUCCAGAGUCACCAUUCAUAGUUCCCCCAUACAUCUGGAAGUCCAUCUGUGUGCACUACUUACAUAAAACACAUAAGAACUAAUGUGGGACUUUUAUGAGAUAGUCACAUGACAGUUUGUGUGUACACUGACACCUCGCCUGAUCCAUCCUUUCUCUCCCUCCAUAGUUUCACAUCCUGCACUGAAUGUGCGUCACUUAAUUAUGCAAAACUAAAAUAAUGUGUGGUUGUUAUCAUUUUAUGUCACACAUCUUUCCUCCUCUGAACAGGGACAGACGAGGCAUUCUGGACUAUUUGAAGAACUACAAACCUAAGACCCCAGAACAAGUGAUCAGAAUUCUUCUUUAUGGGCCACCUGGAAGUGGAAAGUCCAGUUUCAUCAACUCUGUUAACAGUCUCUUACGUGAAAGACCGUACAUCAACGCUUUGGCAAGCCAUAACUACAGCAGAAGUUUCACCACAACGGUAUGACAACUUUUUUGUUGUAACAUAAAGGAAAUGUCUCAAAUUUGUAAUGAUAAUGAAAAAUCUACUAACUCCCAGUGCAUGCCUUUUGUCAUGAUAAUCUUUACUUUUAUUACUUUAAGGGAUGAUUUAGUUGUUUUCAAGUGUGUUAAUUUCAGGUGCUCGUCAAUGUUAAGUGUAUUUGCCAAAGGGAUCCCACAUGACUUGGGCCCCCUUUGCUGAGAUACCACAUAGAGGACUACUGCAGGUGGGCUCAGCUCCAACAAGUGAUUUCAAUCAUUUUAAUCCCCAACCAAAGCACUAAUUUUGGUGUCCACUCUAGGUGAGACUUCAAAAUCAAAGUGUUGCCUUGAUUCACAGAGAUCUUCUACCACAAUCUGUGGUUGGCUUGUUCAUACUGCAGUAUGUCUUUUAUUUAGCUUCAUGGGAAAAAGUCAUGUUAUAGAGGGCUAAAAGGCACAACCAAGCAAUUGAGGCUACAAGAUCCUUAAAGGUUAGCUGGUCAUCAAUCAUGACACCCUAGUUUCCGGACAGACUUUCUGUGCAUGAGUUUCUCUGAUUCAAACUGGGUAUCGGUCAGAGUCGAAAAUGGUGUUUCUUCAUCCAUUCUGAGAUAUCAGAAAAGCAUCAUGAGAUUUGAGCUGAAAGAGUUGUGUGUGGAUGACAGAAAGAGCUGGGAAUUGUCUGCAUAGUAAUUGUACAAAAAACAAUGAGAGACAAUAAUUACGCCAAGAAGGAAUGAAGACUUGAGUUUUAGACUUGGACUUGAGUCCAACUUACGUCGUAUACAGGACAGGCCAAAAGUUUGGACACACCCUCUCAUUUAAUGCAUUUUCUUUAUUCUCAUUACUAUUUGUACUGUAGAUUCUCACUGAGGGCAUCAAAACUAUGAAUGAACAUAUGUGGAAUCAUGUGCUUAAGAAAAAAGUGUGAAAUAACGGAAAACAUGUUUAAGUUUUAGAUUCCUCAAAGUAGCCACCCUUUGCUUUUUUGAUAGCGCUGCAAACUUUUGCUGUUCUCUCAAUGAGCUUCAUGAGGUAGUCACCUGUAUUGGUUUUUACUUCACAGGUGUGCCUUUACCAAGUACUUCUGUCAUCAAGAGCAAAGGGUGGCUAUUUUAUCACACCUGAUUUUCAGCUUCUGGUGCAUGAGCAUCCACACAUAGACUAUAACUAAGAAGGCCACUCAAGCAUAUUUAUUGCCCAAUUUUAGCCUUUUUUCAUCCCCAUGAGAUCUCUGUCCUGAAAUUAAAAUGAUCACUCAUUACCCCUGUGCAUGUUGGGAAAGUUCUGAUGAGAGAUGUAGGCCCCACCUUUUAAUGUUGGCAAAUGACUGUGGUCACAGUCUCAGAGAUAGCUUUGCACUUUCAUUCGUGGCUAUACAAUUCUUAUUUUGCUAUUUUUUAAUCUAUGGGAGACUGGACUGGAUCUUGCUGUUCAGAGACUUUGACUUGGACUCAGAGAAUGAAGAGGAAAGAUUUAAAUUAGGGGUGGGCCAAUGCAUCAGUUCUUCAAUGCAUCACGAUGGAACACGUGACGAUCAAUUAGGAUUAAAAAAUAUUCAAAGUUGAUUAUUUCCCAUGACGUUGAAAUUACAGAAACACCAGUAAGUGUUUAUUUGAGCAGCUUUUUAGGUGAAAAAAAGUGUUGGAUCAUUGGUCUAUUAAAAAUAAUAUAAUGGAGGUAAAUUUGUUUACUUUGUUUUAUGGAUGCUGACAAAUAUAUUUUUAAAAAUCCUGUAUAGAAAAAAUAUGCAUUAAUAAUUCUAAUAAUCUUUAAAAUCAUAAUAAUCAUUACAAUUGUUUGAUUAUCAAAUUGUAGCACCCUGAAUUGUGAUCGGAUUGAAUUGUUAGGUGCCAAAGAUGGCUAACCUCAACUCACUACACUCUCCUCCAUCUGUCUUUAAAAGUUCAAAACCUACAGGAUCCACAAAGGGACCUCAGGGGAAUAUUACCCUUUUGUGUUCAAUUACAUCAUGGGCCUGGAAAACAGUGGAGGGGUCCAUCCAGAUGAUGUCAAACUGGCUUUGAAAGGACAUGUCAUGGAAAAUUACGAGGUACAUUUACUGCAAACUUUGCACAUUUUUCCUCCAAAGAGAUUUAAAUGCACCAUUUAUUAAAUCAGAAUUCUGUCUUAGUUAACAUGUGUUUCAAUCUAAUGUUCUUCAAAUGAAUUGAAAACUGUUUUCCAGUUCAACCCUGAAUCCAAGUUGACUGAGGAGAAUCCGUUCUUUGUCCAAAAUCCAUCUGGGAAUGACAAAGUGAAUGUUCUGGUUUGUGUUGUUGAUGCCUGCCCGAUAUCCCUAAUAGAAGAUGAAACUCUGAGAAAGUUACGUGACAUCAGGAAGGAAGCCAUUCGCCUGGGUAAGAACAGAAAAACUUUUCCAAUAUUUUUCUCAAGGGCUAGACAAAACUUAGAAAAUAAAAACACAGUUUAAACUUUGACAGAUCUUCAAACAGUUCCUCUACCUGGUUUUGAUUUAUGUAUCUGAAGAAGAACAGUGGCUUUUGAAAUAUUUUUUCUCUCAAGGGACUCAAAGUUUUGUGUUUGACAGGGAUCCCUCAAGUGGCCAUCCUCACCCACAUUGAUGACGUCUGUCCUGUCAACAAAGAUUUAAAAACCGUCUACAGGUCCAGGUUUCUGAAGAAGAACGUAUGCUUACUUGUUGAUUUCAUAAUUUUUUUAAGAGGGAAUCAUACUUUAAAAAAGUAGUCUACAAAUAACACACCACUGGGCUCCUUCGCUCAGCACUGAUUUUUGAUUAAAAAUCAUAAUUUAUAAAAAUAAAUCAAUAAAAAUGAUUAUAAAAAUAGUGUUUUUAUCUUUUAAAACCAAAGUUGAUUAAAUACUUUGACAGAAAAACCCUUGCCCUCCCUAUGCAGGUCAUUCCACAGACCUUAGUGGGCACAAGUUCAUUUGAUCCAAGCCAGAUCUGAAUCUGUGUCCUCUAGUCAGGAUGACAGGAAGAGCUCAGUAUCAUCUGCAUAGCAGUGAUUUGAGAAUUCAUGAGUUUGGAUUAGUGCACUGAGUGAGAUUGUGUAUGAUACCCUAGAACAGUGGUUCUUAACCGGGGUUCUAUCGAACCCUAGGGGUUCGGUGAGUCGGUCUCAGGGGUUCGGCGGAGCCUCCGCCGCGGUAGCCUGGCUGGGCCAUCCUGUUGCGUCAAUCACUUGAUGUUCCUUCCCACCACAGUCUGGACUUCGGCCCAUAGAGAGCAUGUAUUCCCAAUCAGAAAAUAACUGGGCCAAUCAGAGACCGUGUUUCCACUGUUACCCGGACAACAGGGAAAGGCAGCCCCUGAUUGGUCCAUGUGUAGUGGUGACGUCUAACACAUGCUGCAGGACUUUUCAAAGCGCUGUUCAUUCAGAACACCGUUAAUUCUGCAGUUGACUCUGCAAAGUCGGCAGAAAUCGUUUAAAUCAGCAGAAGACGUCGGAUAUAAACAAUGUCUUGAAUUUGGAAAAAAAUCAUAUUUAUUUAUCACUAAAGAAGGGUUCGGUGAAUGUGCAUUUGAAACUGGGGGGUUAGGUACCUCAAACAAGGUUAAGAACCACUGCCCUAGAAGAUUCCUUUUUGAGGAAGGACACAAACCUAGAGACCCCACCAAAAGCCAGGCUGUAAGGUCCUUCCAAAGUCCUGAACUCCUCGUCUUGGUCCUUUCAAAGUCCCCAUGCUCUAAUAGAGGUCACUCAGAGUCCUUUUCUCCUCAGAGAGGUCAUCUGAAAGCCCUGAUAUCCUCAUAGAGGUUACGCCAAAGUCACUACAUUUCACCCUGAUUGGCAGUGACUGUCCUGAUCAGGCCAACCAGGAAACCAGAGACAUAUAGUCCAGAUCCAGUCUUUAUUUGAGACCAGUGUUUUUCUGUCAAAACAUACAGUGGCACCAGACUAGUAUCAUAGACUCUGAGUUUAAUUGAAUAGAUAAAUGAAACAGCCAUUCUGAAUCAGGCCUCAUUACUUCUUGUUUUAAAGAAAGGUCACUGCUCUUCCUUCUUUAAAAUUCAGCUGCUAUUAUCUGCUUAUAAUAAUCAGAUCUAAACCUCUUUGGUCCAAUUGAUCAGCAGUACAGUGCGCAUUCAACUGUGUUGUGAUUUUACAGAGCUCUGGGCUGUAAUGUUUACUGAGAGAAUUUGAGCUUUUGUUUAAAUUUGUUUCACUAGAUGGAGGAGCUCAGUGCAAAGAUGGGGAUCCCGAUGAACUGCAUCUUCCCGGUGAAGAACUACCAUGAAGAGAUUGACACCAACAAUGACAUUGAUGUUCUGCUCCUGAGUGCUCUGAAAAACAUCAUCCACUUUGGAGAAGACUACCUUAACCCCUAACUGCAGUAUUCAGCUGUGUGAUCCAUGCUGUUGAAACCCACAGAGCUAAAUGUUUAAUGUUUUGACCAUGUAAUUUAAUAUUGAAUCAUUGUUUUCUGAAGUGUCUCUUUGCUGUGGGCCAAAGUUGAGCUUUAUGUGAUCAGCUUAGCAAACUUCUUUUUUCUGCUUUCAGUGCGUUUAUAGUUAUCUCCUGCUUCUGUGAUUUUUACUCUGUAAAUUUUUAAAAAAUGCAAACAUUGAUUUCAAAUGUAUUCAAGACUUUACAUUCACAAUAAGAAACAGACCUUCUUGGUCUAAACUCCUGUCUGACAUUUGUCUUUAUUUUUGGUGUCAAUGAGUAAAACCUGAUUUUUUUAAUGUUAUUAUAUAGAAAGCUACAUGUUAAAAUAUUUUUUAAAAAGAUGGUAAGAAUAUCUUUGCCUUGAGUUUGUAAUGACCUUCAUGACCUCAGACUUGUUUAGUCAGACAGUUUGGUUUUUAAGUGGACCGAAAAAGAUGGAGCAGAGUGUAACGCCACAAAGCUCCAGCAGAGGGCAGCAGGCUGUCAUCUUCUGAAGCUUUACCCUCUGUUAAGAGCUCACAUGAAAUCUCUGAGAGUUCAUGCAGAUCUACAUUUGAGACAGAAUCAAAUUUGUAAUUCACAUGGUCUGUCAUGAAAUUACUGAAUUUUCCUGGUAAAACGCUGAAAUUGAUCUUUAUAAGAUCACUGUGUUCAUAUCGGAUUUAGUUGUAAAAUAACUGAGGCCCUCUUAAAUAAAUUUUUAACAGUUUUCGAAAUACCUCAGGGAUAAUCACAAAUGUCAGGAGUUUAUUUUCCUAGGGGUCCAGCUUGAGAUCACAAAGAGUGAGACAAAUAUACAGGAGGUGCUUACCAUCAAAUGUAAAUCAUGGAUGUGACUUCAGUCAACAGUUUCUGGUCACUCGUCUUGUUCUAUGGUUUUCAUAUUCUGUCCAAAUAUGAACAAAGUUUGGUUACAGUUUGUCUCACUGUACAACCCCAGUUCAAAAAAGUGAAUACACCAUGUGAAAUUUGAUCAAAAACAGGUUUUGAACAAUUUAUCACUGAGAUAUUCAAUCAUUUGAUGAAAAAUAUGUUGGUUUGUUUUUAAGUUUUAUGCUAGCAGUACAUUUCAAAAAGUUGGAUGAGGACAAUAAAACACUGAAGUCAUCCGAAAGAUGAUCCAGGAGUCCAAAUUAAAUAAUUAAACCCAAUCCCAGAAAAAAUACAAAUAAAUCAAAACUACCGAUUUAAGAGUUCCAACCGCAGAGCAGGAUUGAAAUUUCGGGCAACAGAAGGAGGACAUGCACCCCCCCGACUUCGCCAGUGAAGGCUGGGAGAGAAGAUUUAUCAGUACCCUCACCAAACCAUCACAGCCUAAUGUUGGAGAUAGACAAGCACCUUACCCACGAGAAGCGCACCACGCCCACACAGACUCCAGGAGACAGCCUAGCUCCCGGUCACACCACACUGAACCCAGAGUCAACCACAGCAUACAAUAACUGAAUGGAUCGAUCCAGAUCACAGAUCACCUGAUAUCACCUGCAUACCUGAUUCUAAAGCCCAACACCACUCCACACCACACAGGCAGGACGCCAGCAGCCACUGCACACCUCUGUCUCCAUGAAGGAGGAAGAGGAAGAACCAAUGAGGCAUAUUUAUAAGCACCGGCCGGAAAUCGCCAGCCACACUGCGUCUUAUGGUAGGGAGUAUAGAUCCCUAUCAGACACAUGACAAAUGAGACAAAGACUGUCUUACUGCAAAUACUGACUGAAGAUCAUGGUGCAGUGUCCAUCCAACCUGUAGUUAGAAAAAUUGUAGUUAUUCUGUUUGGAUUGUACUCAAAGAGAACACAGGGAAGAUUAACCAAAGUUAGGAUUUAUGGCUGAGCUGAUAAAACUGACGCUUCCCAGUCAAAAUGUGAUGACUAAUGUUUAUCUGAUCGAGUGGUCCUGCAGUUCUUUCCUGCUGGCAAUAAACGAUUUUGUCUCUGUCUCUUUGAAAUGGAAAGGAUGGAAGGUUUGUCCUUUUGAGAAGGCUUCUUUGUCUUGUAUAGAGACAAGAGGUUUAAGAAAGAUUGUGAUUUGGUGUUUGGGUAGUUUGGGGUGAGAAAGUGGUUGCUUCUGCUACAACAAAGAGGCAGGAGUUGGUGUUAAAGGUCUAAAACAUCUCGUCUCUGGUGAGCAGAUGUAAGCCUUACAUUUCUUUUGGGGGAUGGGUUAAAAAAGUGGUCACCUCUGCUACAACAGAGAGGCAGGAAGAUGAAAGUAAAAUUAAAAUUUACGGGACAGGAUAUCCUGUGUGUGUGACAAAGUAUAACCGAAUUGCAAAUUUGCAUUUCUCAGACUUCAGAAGAGGAAACAUCAGAGUAGAGACUGAAAAAAAAUAAAGUUUUACACUGAUAGAUCUGAGUAUUUUGUGACCCAGAACCCCAACCACGGUAAGACUUUUCUGUUGUUUUCAUCCUGAGAAGUGGAUUUGUCCUUGAACAUUUACAACCUUGAAAUAUUAUUCUUCUUGAGUUAUUGUCAUUUAAAAUGUAUGUUUUUUUGUUUGUUUUUGAUAGAAUAUCAAAUAUUGUUACAAAUAUUCAAAAUUGAAUUUAAGCUUGAAGCUUUGAUGAAAUCUAUCUUAGAUAAGUUAGUGUAAAAUUUAGCUGUAAGACAAAUUUAAAAAACAAAAUACAGUUUCUUUAACACUGUUAAAUCUUCCAUAAGAGUUUUAGUUAAGUUCAGCGAAAUGUCUUAAGUCAAAAAUACAAUGAAAAUUCACAAUUAAAAGAGUCCUAAUUAUAAGAUGGUUGAUACUUAAUGUAAGAAAAAUGUCAUAAAAGUCAAAAUAAAAGCAAGUAAGCCACAGUUGUAAGGUGAUAAGUUAAGAUUAAGAGUCAUAAUUAUGAAAUUUAAAAAGAAAUUAGAUCAUAAGAUAGCCAUAACUUUUAACUUACAAUUAUGAAAAUAUGUCCUGAUUAUAACAAACAGAGUCAGAGUUAUAAGAGAGAACAUUGUGAUUAUAAUAAAAGUUUAAAUUAGGAAACAUUUUGAUGAGCCUGUCAUCAAAUCAAAUUUGCAGACUGUUCAUGAAAACAAAGACUGUCUGAAUGAAAGAGUAUGUUUGAUUAUAAAAUUUAAUGAAGAUGUCUCAGCACUUGGUCUGAGUCCAAGUUUAUUACCCAAACAUUGAGCUUUUAUCUUCUGUGCUCUGAGCUGAAACUUUUAGAGAGGACUUCAGCAGUUUACACAGAGAUGUCCUUAACUGACUUUUCUAUAAGUUGGCACGAACAAUAAGAUGUCACAUUUUGCUGUUUUUAUCCUAAAAGGCUGUGUAGAUGAGACCUUAGAUUUUCAAUCUGAAGAGCUGCUUUACGUUUACUUUCAUCUUGACUCUGGAGCUUGUUAUCUUGACGACCAUUCCCCAGUGUGUCUUUAAAUGGUCACAUAACAUCAAGUGAUUACAUAAUGCCGGCAUAAACAGAGCCAAAAGAAAAGAGAUGUUAUCAAACAGUUUUUUUAAUGAGUUUUGUUUGAGAGCCGGGGCUUUCUUUUUUAAAUGCAUUAUCAAUUUACUACCUGCACAUUCACGAAUGCUGUUAAACUCAUAUACCUUUUAUUUCAUUGAUCAACUUAUUUGUACAGGAAGAGGACAGGAAAGCGCUCACAGGGUGAUGUUUUGGACUUUUUUCAGGAAAUAAAAGCAGAGUUAUAUUUACUUUUUCUUUCACUGAAUCCAUGGGAGGGCGGAAGUCAAAACCUGAUCCAGAGCCAUGUAAUAUUAUUUUUCAAUAUUAAACAAAUCUUUUGUCAAAACAAUUUUUUGGUAACGUUCUGACUUACCUUAAAAUUCGUUUUUCUUUCAGUGUUCAGUGAGCCAUGGCGGAAACUCAACUGGACGUAAGUGCUCUCAAAUGUUCUAUUUUUAUAAAUCACUGUGUGUGUGAUUUACAAAGUGCCAGUGGAUAUACAAAACCAAAUCCUGACAGCAAAGGGUUAACUUUUUUGGGUUCAUUCUGAGUUAAGAUCUAUUUGUUAUGAAGAAUUUAAAAAAGGAUAGGUCUGAGUUAAAGAUUUUUAUUCUUGCAAGAAAGAGCAGUCACAAACAGAAAGUCUGUAAGCAAGUGCUCAAAGGACUGUUCUCUGACUUUUUUAGACACAGGGCGUUACCAGUUUACAUCAGUCAUAACGAAAACAUGCUCAUCUAUGACAAACCGUUGUCAUCUCUUGCUUUCUUUGUUUUGCAGACUGGGUUCAGCUUUUGUUUCUCAGUCUUGACUCAGGGCCAGAACAGAGAUAGACAGUAACAGUGUGUUACACAGCAUAUUUCUAUAAGAGCUGUCCUUAAAUUACCUUUGAUGACAUGAGUACAUGUACAAGGACUGGAUAAGAAGUUAUUUGUCCAGAGUCACCAUUUAUAGUUCCCCCAUACAUCUGGAAGUCCAUCUGUGUGCACGACUUUUAUGAGAUAGUCACAUGACAGUAUCUGUGUGUGCACUGACACCUCUCCUGAGCCAUCUUUUCUCUGCCUCCAUAGUUUCACAUCCUGCACUGAAUGUGCAUCACUUAAUUAUGCAAAACUAAAAUAAUGUGUGGUUGUGAUCAUUUUAUGUCACACAUCAUUCCUCCACUGAACAGAGACAGACGGGGCAUUCUGCUCUAUGUGAAGAACUACAACCCGAGGACCCCAGGGCAGCAGAUCAGAAUUCUUCUUCAUGGGCCAGUUGGAAGUGGAAAGUCCAGUUUCAUCAACUCUGUUAACUCUAGUCUCUUACAUGAAAGACCGUACACCAACGCUUUAGCAAACCACAACUCCAGCAAAAGUUUUACCAAAGUGGUAUGACAACUUUUUGUUGAAACAUAUAGAAAAUGUCUCAAAUAUAUAAUGAUAAUGAAAAAUCUACUAACUCCCAGUGCAUGCCUUUUGUCACAGUUAUCUUUACUUAGAGAUAUUCCUGAAAUUUCCUGGUCUCUAUAGGAUCACUGUGUUCAUAUCGGAUUUAGUUGUAAAAUAACUGAGGCCCUUUUAAAUAGAUUUUUAACAGUUUUCUAAAUACCUCAGGGAAAAUCAAAAAUGUCAGGAGUUUAUUUUCCGAGGGGGCCAGCUUGAGACCACAAAGAGUGAGACAAAUAUACAGGAGGUGCUUACCAUCAAAUGUAAAUCAUGGAUGUGACUUCAGUCAACAGUUUCUGGUCUCCUGUCUUGUUCUAUGGUUUUCAAAUUCUGUCCAAAUAUGAACAAAGUUUGGUUACAGUUUGUCUCAGUAUACAACCCCAGUUCAAAAAAGUGAAUACAACAUGUGAAAUUUGAUCAAAAAUAGGUUUCGGACAAGACAUCAACGCUGAUACUGAAAUAUUCGAUCAUUUGAUGAAAAAUAUGCUGGUUUGUUUUGAAGUGUGAUGCUAGUUUUACAUUGAUACCAAUGCCUCGCAGGAAUUUUAUUUGAAUUGCAUCUUUGGGAAUAGCUGUAAUGAGAAAAAAGUUGACGCGUUCAAUACUUAUUUUCCCCAUUGUAGCUGAAAAGUUUCAGAAUAAUGUCCCUGAGUGUCAAAUUUGAAAGAAUGAGUGGAUUUCAUUAUCUACACUGCAUAAUAUCAUUGGCUCUUGUAGUAUACCAUCUUUAUUUUCUCGAAAGUCAUGUUUUACCACAUGUAUGGUGUCUUUUUUUUUUCACCUCACCAUUUUACACUGUGUACAAUGCACAUUAAGACCAGUGAGACAGGAAGAGAAAGUAAAACUAAAACUGACAGGAUAGGAAAUCUUGUGGGUGUGACAAAGUUUAACCAAAUUGCGUAUGUACAUUUCUCAGACUUCAGAAGAGGACACAUGAAAGUAGAGUCUGAAAAAACAAAAGUUUCACUGAUACAUCUGAGUUUUUUGUGACCCAGAACACCAUCCACGGUAAGACUUUUCUGUUGUUUUCUUCCUGAGACUUGGAUUUGUCCUUGUCCUAUUUUGUUGUUCAAAAUUAAAUUUAAGCUUGAAGCUUUGAGGAAAUCCAUCUUAGAUAAAUUAGAGUAAAAUUUGGCUGGAAGACAAAGUUAAAAAAAAAAUAAAAAAUACAGUUUCUGUAACACUGUUGAGUCUUCCAUAAGAGCUUAAGUUAAGUUCAGCAAAAUGUUUGAAGUCAAAAAUACAAUGAAAAAGUCAAAAGAAUCCUAAUUAUAUGAUGGUUGGUAAUUAUUGUAAGAAAAAUGUCAUAAAAGGUCAAAAUAAAAGGUAGUAAGUCACAGCUGUAAGAUGGUAAGUUAAGAUUUAAAGUCAUAAUCAUGAAAUAAAUUAAAAGUUAUAAGAAAAACUAGGAAGAUGUCACAAUCAAAAGACAAAUAUAAUGAUAUGAAAGAAAGUCAUAAUAUCUUCAUCAUUCUGAAAAGAUUUUUCAGAAUUAUCAGAAAAAAAAACUAUAACAUUGUCAUAAAAUUGUAAGUUACAAUCAUGAAAGUAUGUCAUGAUUAUAACAAACAGAGUCAGAGUUAUAAGAGAGAACAUUGUGAUUAUAAGAAAAGUUUAAAUUAUGAAACAUUUUGAUGAGCCUGUGAUCAAAUCAAAUUUACAGACUGUUCAUGAAAACAAAGACUGUCUGAAUAAAAGGGUAUGUUUGAUUAUCAAAUUUAAUGAAGAUGUCUCAGAGCUGAAACUUUUAGAGAGGACUUCAGCAGUUUACACAGAGAUGUCCUGAACUGACUUUUAUAUGAUUUGGCACGAAAAAUAAGAUGUCACAUUUUGCUGUUUCUAUCCUAAAAAGUCUGUGUAGAUGAGACCUUAGAUUUUCAACAGCAUUUACAGAGGCUGGCAGCUUAUUUAAAUUCUACUGAUCUGAAGAACAGCUUUACUUUUACUUUCAUUUUGACUCUGGAGCUUAUUAUCUUGACGACCAUUCACCAGUGUGUCUUUAAAUGGUCACGUAACACCAAGAGUGAUUACACAGAGCCGAAGGAAAAGAGAUGUUAUCAAACAGUUUUUCAAAUGAACUUUGUUUGAGAGCCAGGGCAUCUUUUUAAAGUGCACUUUCUAUUUGCUACCUGCAUGUUCAGGAAUGCUGUUAAACUCAUUUACCUUUUAUUUCAUUGAUCAAUUUAUUUGUACAGAAAGAGGACAGGAAAGCACUCACAGGGUGAUGUUUUGGAAUUUUUUCAAAUGUAACCCAGAGAUUUCUUUAAAGGAUUUUUUUUCAUAGUUUUUCAGGCUAAUUAUGAUUUUCAGGAAAUACAAGCAAGUAUUUACUUUUUUUUUUCUCUGCAGCCAUGGGAAGGCUGUUUUCAAAACCUGAUCCGGAACCAUGUAAUAUUAUUUUUGAAUAUUAAAUAAAUCUUUUAUCAAAAUACAAUUUUAUUGGAAAAAUUCUGACUAAAACUAAAAUUUGUUUCUCUUUCAGUGUUCAGUGAGCCAUGGCGGCAACUCAACUGGAGGUAAGUGCUCUCUAAUGUGCUAUUUUCCUUAAUCACUGGGUGUGUGAUUUACAAAGUACCAGUGGAUAUACAAAACCAAAUCCUGACAGCAAAGGGUUAAUUUUUUUGGGUUCAUUCUGAGUUAAGAUCUGUUUUUUUUUUUUUUUUUUGUUGUUGUUGUUUUAACUCUUUUGUUUAUUCCUUUGCUUUCUUUUUAUGUAUGUCUGUUUACUUUGGAAAACACUUUUUAAACCUUUUUGAAAGGUGCAGUAUAAAUUCAUUAAUUAUUAGUAUUAUUAAUAUUACCAUUAUAAUUACUAUAACUGUUAUUAUUAUCCCUGUAAUUACUCAGCUACCAACUAAAUACAAAAAUAAGCUAGCUCCAAGAAUUGAUUCAGAGAUGAUUUUGUUGGUCUAAAAAUGAUUCACUUAUACUCCUUCAGUUUUAAUGUUUGGUGCUAGUUCAUGCUCACUGCACACCUCUCUCUUUUCAUACUUGUGUCUCUGCUUUUAUGUUUUGUGCAAACACCUGCUUCCUCCCCCCUGCUGUCCUCUCCUCACACAUGGCUGCAUGACAGUUUUGUUAAACCAGUCUGUCCACCUUUUGCAAUAUCUUCUACUUCCAUGUGCACACAACUCUGCUGCACAUUUAUCUGAGCUGAUAAAAAGUGAAAAUGCUACGAAGAUUUUAAAAAGGAUAGGUCUGAGUUAAAGAUUUUUCUUUUUGCAAGAAGGAGCAGUCACAAACAGAGAUUCUGUAAGCAAGUGCUCAGAGGACUGUCCUCUAAAUUAUUUUUUUAGACACAGGGCGUGACAAGUUAACACGAGUCAAAUUGACAGCAUGCUCAUCCAUGAUAAGCUGCAUCUCUCAGGGUCAGAGCAGCAGAUAUCGACAGUAACAGUGUGUUGCACAGUAUACUUCUAUAAGAGCUGUUCUUAAAUUACCUUUGAUGACAUGAGUACAUGUACAAGGAUUGGAUAAGAAGAUAUUUGUACAGAGUCACCAUUUAUAGUUUCAACAAAGUAAAUGUUCAACAUCACAAUGCAAAGAAACUCUUUGCAGUCUGUUCAGCACAAUCCAAUAAGAGUAACCAAGCCCCAAUACAUCUGAAUGUCCAGCUGUGUGCACGACUUACAUAAAACACAUAAGAAUUGGAAAAGCACUCAGAGAGCGCAGACCUCCGCCAAGCAGCUCAUGUCCCCCCUUAUAUUGUGAUUCACACAGAAACUUUUACCAUUACGUGUCUUUUAUUAACUUUUAUUUGUGUUUAAACUGGUAUGUUCACUGUUCAUAAUGUUCCUAAAACAACAAAGCUCAUAUUAGAUACAUAAAUGCAUGAUUUAUUAUGCAAUAUUUGUAAGCGUACACUUCCUUGUAUCUUCAUUGGUUAUCUUUCGACGCCCUUAUUUUUGUGUGUUCUGGAUCACAGCAUCCGGAAUUUUGUCUGGAUCAGGAUCAACCUUUGACACUUCAUAAAACUCAUUGAGAUCCUUUUGUGUAAUUUUUUACUUAAGACUCUGGACAUUUUUAUAGAGUAAAAUGCAGAAAUUCCAAAAUUUGCCCGAUCUCACAAUGAUAAAGAAUCCUUCAAAAAAUUCCUGGAUCCAGAAGGCGAUCCGGAUCACCACCAAAAUUGGAAAUCCUCCUGGGGCUGAGACGCACCUCUGGUGAAAAUUUCAGGUCAAUCCGUCACUUUCUCCUUAAAGUUGCUAACAGACAAACAAACAAACAAACAAACAAACCAAUGCUACCAAAAACAUAACCUCCUUGGCGGAAGUAACUAAUGUGGGACUUUUAUGAGAUAGUCACAUGACAGUAUGUGUGUGCACUGACAUCUCUCCUGAUCCAUCCUUUCUCUCCCUCCAUAGUUUCACAUCCUGCACUGAAUGUGCAUCACUUAAUUAUGCAAAACUAAAAUAAUUUGUGGUUGUUAUCAUUUUAUGUCACACAUCUUUCCUCCUCUGAACAGAGACAGACGGGGCAUUCUGCUCUAUUUGAAGAACUACAACCCUAAGACCCCAGAACAAGUGAUCAGAAUUCUUCUUCAUGGGCCAACUGGAAGUGGAAAGUCCAGUUUCAUCAACUCUGUUAACAUUCUCUUACGUGAAAGACUGUGCACCAAGGCUUUAGCAAACCACAAAUCCAUCAAAAGUUUUACCAGCAAGGUAUGAUGACUUUUUGUUGGAACAUAAAGGAAAUGUCUCAAAUUUGUAAUGACAGUGACAGGUCUAUAAACUCCCAGUGCAUGCCUUUUGUCACAGUUAUCUUUACUUUUAUUACUUAAAGGGAUGGUUUAGUUGUUUCCAAGUGUGGUCAUUUUAGGUUCUCGUCAUUGGUCAGUGUAUUUGCCAAAGGGAUCCCAGUGACUUGGGCCCCCUUUGCUGAGAUACCAAACAGAGAACUACUGCAGGUGGGCUCAGCUCCACCAAGUGAUUUCAAUCAUUUUAAUCCCCAACCAAAGCACUGUUUUGGUGUCCACCAUAGGUGAGACAUCAAAUUCACCUCAAAAUAAAAGAUAAUGGAGGUAAAUGUGUUUACUUUAUUUAAUGGAUGCUGACAAAAAUAUCUAAAAGAAAUCCUGUAUGGGAAAAAAGAUGCAUUGGUUAUUGCAAUGGUUGUUAAAAUUGAACUGUGAUCAAAUCAUUAGGUUCCUAAAAUGGCUCACCCUAACCAAUAACACUCUCCUCCAUUUGUCUUUAAUAGUACAAAACCUUCAGGACCGACAAUGGGACCUCAGGAGAAUAUUACCCUUUUGUGUUCAAUGACAUCAUGGGCCUGGAAAACAUUGGAGGGGUCCAUCCAGAUGAUGUCAAACUGGCUCUGAAAGGACAUGUCAUGGAAAAUUACGAGGUACAUUUACUGCAAACUUUGCACAUUUUUCUUCCAAAAAGAUUUAUAUGCAUCAUUUAUUAAAUCAGAAUUCUGUCUUAGUUAACAUGUUUUUCACUGUAAUGUUCUUCAAAUGAUUUUAAAACUGUUUUCCAGUUCAAUCCUGAAUCCAAGUUGACUGAGGAGAAACCGUUCUUUGUCCAAAAUCCAUCUGAGAAUGACAAAGUGAAUGUUCUGGUUUGUGUUGUUGAUGCCAACAAAAUGUCCAUAAUACAUGAUGAAACUCUGAAAAAGUUUCGUGACAUCAGGGAGGAAGCCAGUCGCCUGGGUAAGAACAGAAAAGCUUUUCCAAUAUUUUUCUCAAGAGUUAGAUGAACUUUGCAAAAAAACACACAGUUUAAUCUUCGACAGAUCUUCAAACAGUUCCACUAGCUGAUUUUGAUUUAUGUAUCUGGAGAAGAACAGUGGCUUUUGAAAUGUUUUUUUUUCUCUCAAGGGAUUCAAAGUUUUGUGUUUGACAGACAUCCCUCAAGUGGCCAUCCUCACCCACAUUGAUGAGGUCUGUCCUGAAGUCAAGAAAGAUUUAAAAAACGUCUACAAGUCCAUCUUACUGAAGAAGAAGGUAUGCUUACUUGUUGAUUUCAUGGUUUUGUAAAGAAGGAAUCACACUUUAAAAAGUAGUCUACAACUAAGACACCAAUGGGCUCCUUCGCUCAGCACUGAUUUUUUCACACACUGCACUGCAGUCAAAUCAGGUGAUGCAAAAAUAAAGAAGAUUAAAAACUACAAUUUAUACAAAUAAAUCAAUAAUAAUGAAAAAAAUGUUUUUAUGUUUUAAAACCAAAGUUGAUGAAAUGCUUUGACAGAAAAACCCUUGCCCUCCCGAAGCAGAUCAUUCCACAGACCUUAGUGGGCACAAGUUCAUUUGAUCCAAGCCAGAUCUGAAUCUGUGUCCUCUAGUCAGGAUGACAGGAAGAGCUCAGUAUCAUCUGCAUAGCAGUGAUAUGAGAAUCCAUGAGUUUUGAUUAGUGCAUUUAGAUUUUGUAUGUAGAGAAAAGGAGGGGACCAAGAACUGACCCUUGAAGCAUCCCUGUUGUUGGGCACUGUGGUUUGGACUUCUCCUCUUUGUGAUACCCUAAAAGACCUAUUACGAGGCGUAUUACUAUUUUCAUGAAGUAGUCAAAGAGAUCAAGAGAUGUCUGAAGACAGCAAUGCCACACGAUGGCGACAGAAGGCAGCUCCUCAACAAGUGUCGCUGCACUGGGCGUCCUCCACACUCUCUCAUGUAAGCAAAGAUGGAUUUGGUGUGUGGAAUGUUGGAGCCACUAGUAAGACAAACAUCGCUUUCCAGAAAUAAAGACACUCACAUAAAGUUGCACAUAUUCAAACCUCACAAAGGUGGGUUGUGCACACAGAUCACAACAUAAAUUCCAAAAAUGGCAUUAAAAUCGGAACCAUCUGUGCGUAAUGACGCAUCCCGCUCCAUGGUCUGGCUCUUUCUUUCAUAGAUGUUGGCAUGUAAAAUAAAUUUGGCCCACAAAACUGAAUAUUAUAAUAUCCGUAUGUAGGCUUAAAGUACACAAUUCAUCUGAUUACUAAAAUAAAUCAUCCGCUCAGCAGCCGCUGCAGCAGCUGCAGCAGGACAGGGAGAGGACACGGAGACAUGUCCAGGUCGAGAAACAAGAGGAAGAGGAAGAAAGAAAAGGAGGGAGACGAAUUACAUAUCUAGUUAACUUCAUUAUGUGUGUCUAUUUACUAGAUAUUUAAUUUAAUUUAAUGCGGUUUCAGCUGUGUUGAUUCGGUCAGGUUGUGUGUCCAAACGCGUGCCAAACGCACUCAUCAGAUCAGAUAUAGAUCAGAAUGUAUAGAUCUAAAUGUAUGUGCUGACUCAGAUUAUUAGUUGUUGAUGAUUAUUUAUUGCACUGAAAUGUGCCUGACACUGUGGAAACCUGCCGGUGAGGCAUCAGUGACGUAUGCCAAUACGCCACCGGUCUACCAAAAUACUACUAGACCAGCGCCACCUGUGCUGAAAGCUGACCAGGAUUGAAUCGGCGAGCUUUCAGCGCACUUUAUACAACGGUGGCAAGCACAAAAAUGUCACUGCGCCAGCUGAUUCUGUUGACACCUCCCCCUGCCAUGCCACCACGCCCAGCUUGGCGGAUCUCGGUGCGCUUCAGUCCACAAAAAUACCAAACUGGCUGUACGCCGGGCUCCGCCAGACAAAAAUACCACUGCACAUGGUCCGCCGCCUCACCGGUGUACACGAAAAUAGAGCCCUCUGAUUGGCAGUGACUGUCCUGAUGAGACCAACCAAGAAACCAGAGACAUGUAGUUCAGAUCCAGUCUUUAUUUGAGACCAGUGUUUUUCUGUCAAAACAUGCAGCGGCACCGGACUAGUAUCAUUGAUACAGUGUUGAAUUGAAUAGAUGAAUGAAACAGCCAUCCUAAAUCAGGUCUCAUCACUUCUUGUUUUAAAGAAAGGUCACUGCUCUUCCUUCUUUAGAAUUCACUAUCAGCUGCUCAUAUUUUAAAUCUGUUUAACUAGAUGGAGGAGUUCAGUGAAAGGGUGGGGAUCCCGAUGUACUGCAUCUUCCCUGUGAAGAACUACCAUGAUGAGAUUGACAUCAACAAUGACAUUGAUGUUCUGCUCCUGAGUGCUCUGAAAAACAUCAUCCACUUUGGAGAAGACUUCCUUAACCCCUAACUGCAGUAUUCAGCUGUGUGAUCCAUGCUUUUGAAACCCACAGGGCUAAAUGUUAAAUAUAAUGACCAUGUAAGAUAAUAUUGAAUCAUUGUUUUCUGAAGUGACUCUGUGCUGUGGGCUAGAGUUGAGCUUUAUGUGAUCAGCUUAGCAAACUUUUUUUUCUGCUUUCAGUGAGUUUAUAGUUAUCUCCUGCUUCUGUGAUUUUAACUCUAUGAAUCUUUUUAAAAAGUGCAAAAUUUGAUUUCAAAUGUAUUCAAGACUUUGCAUUCACGAUAAGAAACAGGCCACUCUGUGCUGAAUUCUGUCUUACAUUUGUCUUUAUUUUUGGUGUCAAUGAGUAAAAUCUGAUUUUUUUAUGUUAUUGCACCGUGAGUUACAUGUUAAAACGUUUUCAAAAGAUGGUAAGAAUAUCUUUUUCUUAGGUUUGUAAUGACCUUCAUGAUCUCAGACUUGUUUCAGAAUAAAUAUAAAAAUAAGAACUUUAUUAUUCCCCAAAGGGAAAUUCAA